Molecule: non-coding RNA, 24 nt
Filed under: Arabidopsis thaliana (thale cress)
Lineage: Eukaryota; Viridiplantae; Streptophyta; Magnoliopsida; Brassicales; Brassicaceae
Source: RNAcentral
AAGGUCGUCUACUCGAUACCUUGA